AAGGGUCUAGCUCAGUGGCAGAGUGCAUGCUUAGCAUGCAUGAGGUCAGGGGUUCAACCCCCAGUACCUUC
Molecule: transfer RNA, 71 nt
Filed under: Camelus bactrianus (Bactrian camel)
Lineage: Eukaryota; Metazoa; Chordata; Mammalia; Artiodactyla; Camelidae
Also listed under: 1 other name
Rfam family: tRNA
About the family: Transfer RNA (tRNA) molecules are approximately 80 nucleotides in length. Their secondary structure includes four short double-helical elements and three loops (D, anti-codon, and T loops). Further hydrogen bonds mediate the characteristic L-shaped molecular structure. tRNAs have two regions of fundamental functional importance: the anti-codon, which is responsible for specific mRNA codon recognition, and the 3' end, to which the tRNAs corresponding amino acid is attached (by aminoacyl-tRNA synthetases). tRNAs cope with the degeneracy of the genetic code in two manners: having more than one tRNA (with a specific anti-codon) for a particular amino acid; and 'wobble' base-pairing, i.e. permitting non-standard base-pairing at the 3rd anti-codon position.
Source: Rfam by way of RNAcentral